Molecule: non-coding RNA, 493 nt
Organism: Salvia hispanica
Lineage: Eukaryota; Viridiplantae; Streptophyta; Magnoliopsida; Lamiales; Lamiaceae
Source: RefSeq, a predicted model, not a curated record
CUAAUUAUCACUUUUCACCACUGCCCCCCAAAACUCCCUCAGCACCCACGAUCGCCCGCCCCAAUCUCUCCUCCACCACCCAUGACCGCCACAAAAUCCAAUGCCCUACGUCAUCUCUCCCGUCUGGUUCCCUGUUGUGGCUUCGCUGCCUCAUCCGCCGCCGCCCGCUGCCUCCGCGAUCAGCGCACAGUCCUCGCCUCCGUCGAUCGCUGCCUCCAGCGGCAAGUUCGAAUUUCUGGUGAAACUAUUGCCGACUCCACGACGGAACUCCACUGCGAGCUGCGGAGAGGCGAUGUUGUCGAAUUGAGCUUGGCGGUUGGUGGCGGUUUCAAUUUUAGAGGAAAUUGAGAUUGCAAAAGUAGUUUGCAGGAAGCUUGAAGGAAAAUUUUAGGCUCUGAAAAUUUUAAAGAAUCAGUUGUAUUUAGCAGCUGAAUCAAGAAGAAAUGAUUAUUGCAAAGGCAUAGCAUAAAUACAAGAAUUUUAUCGUGCAUAG